Long non-coding RNA from Zonotrichia leucophrys gambelii, 1077 nucleotides. RefSeq lists it as uncharacterized. The record is from RefSeq and is a predicted model, not a curated record. NCBI's taxonomy places the organism in Eukaryota, Metazoa, Chordata, Aves, Passeriformes, Passerellidae. The transcript has 3 exons.
CUUUUACUCUGUUCUUUUCCAGAAAAGCCAAGAUGCAAGUCUCUUUCCAAGGCUGGCUAGCUACUGGGAAAAAGAAGAAUGCCCAUGGCGUAGUAGCAGGCUUCCACUCUGGAUUCCUCUCUAUGGACUUGUGUAAAAGAACAGAAAAAGUUGUCCAUCAACAAGUAGCUGUUAAGAGAAUAUUACAAAAACCAAAAUCCAUCUUGUACCUAGGUUGAAGCUGGACUGAGCCCCACCUUAAGUGAAACAACAUUAAUGAUCAACUCACUCUUCUAAGAUAUGAGAGAAUCUCCACUGGAUUAAUACAGAAAAAAAAUGUUAUUAAAUGAUGCUAAAUCCGCUUGAGAAAGAGUGUCAGUACGGCAUGGAGGUGCAGAACUAACUGCUGAUUCAUCCUGACAGUCAGGUCAGGCAGGCUGACUCAUUAACUCAGAAGUAUAAAACAUUGAGCUUUUCUUUGAGGCAAGAGAAAGAGAGAAGAGACAGCAGAGGUCUUGCAGGCAGAAGUCAUAAGAACAGUCACUUCAGGAGGGACUUGAGGACUGAAGCUUCUGUUUAUGAAUACAUUUCUGCCUGCAGCCAUUUCCUUUACUGGAAAUAAGAAGAAAGCCUAUAUCUGAACUCUGUGGGAGGACAGGUACCAAAGGAAGGAUAUGAAACUAUUGACUGUCGUGUUUCCAGGCGUCAGUUCUGAUCUCACUCCUACAGCUUUGGAGCUGUCUGGGAGGAUUAACAAAGGCCAAGAUAUUGAUGGGCUGCAUCUGACACACUGCAAAGGCGAUUACUUGUUGUACUUUCCCAUGAUAGUGAUCCUACAAGAUAUUGAAAGGUCCACAGAAGAAACAGGAAACCUCACUUCAAAGGAAGAGAAAUAUUCUUUUAAUUCACUGGAUCACUAAAAUCUCACAACCACUCAGUGUACCAAGGUAUUGCAAUGCUAGAUUGAUGAGGAACAGGAGCAAGAGUUGAGUUGUAAAACCAUUCUGGCACUUUAUUCUGUAAGUGAUCUUGAGGUAAAAAAAAAAAAAAAAAAGCAAGCAUAACUGGUAAAAAAAAAAAUUCAAAAUCAAAAAUUAA